GUGAAUCAUCGAAUCUUUGAACGCAAAUUGCACUCUCCUCGGAGAGUAUGCCUGUUUGAGGGUCAGCCUAUAAAAAAUCGACAUCGUUGCUGUUUCACGGUGACGUUCGUCGGAAAUUGGGUCAUCUUAAAUCCUUUUGGUUUUAAGCGACUUAAAAUUUUCUUUUUGGUUCCAUGAACGUUUCUAAGAUUUAUUUCUUUACCCUUUUAGGGUUUUGUUUUUUUUUUGACCUGACCCUUCA
This 241-nucleotide unclassified non-coding RNA is filed under the name Glomeraceae sp. Its description in RNAcentral is "partial contains 5.8S ribosomal RNA and internal transcribed spacer 2". The stretch from base 1 to 65 matches the Rfam family "5.8S ribosomal RNA", at positions 84 to 154 of the family's 154-position model. Lineage: Eukaryota; Fungi; Glomeromycota; Glomeromycetes; Glomerales; Glomeraceae. The record is from RNAcentral.